This 334-nucleotide unclassified non-coding RNA is filed under the name soil metagenome. RNAcentral describes it as "partial contains 5.8S ribosomal RNA, internal transcribed spacer 2, and large subunit ribosomal RNA". The stretch from base 1 to 122 matches the Rfam family "5.8S ribosomal RNA", at positions 35 to 154 of the family's 154-position model. The record is from RNAcentral.
GAUGAAGAACGUAGCGAAAUGCGAUAAGUAAUGCGAAUUGCAGAAUUUCUAGUGAGUCAUCGAAUCUUUGAACGCACAUUGCGCCCUUUGGUAUUCCGAAGGGCAUGCCUGUUCGAGCGUCAUUAUCAACCCUCAAGCUCUGCUUGGUCUUGGGCCGCGCCGCGCAAGCGGCUGGCCUCGAAAACAGUGGCGGCGCCAUCUGGGCUCUCAGCGUAGUAAUUCUUCUCGCUGUUGAGCUCCGGUGGUCGCCCGCCAGCAACCCCCAACUUUUACAGUUUGACCUGGGAUGAGGUAGGGAUACCCGCUGAACUUAAGCAUAUCAAUAAGCGGAGGA